RNAcentral lists this ribosomal RNA (254 nucleotides) under uncultured bacterium. Its description in RNAcentral is "partial 16S ribosomal RNA". It matches the Rfam family "Bacterial small subunit ribosomal RNA", at positions 524 to 776 of the family's 1533-position model. The record is from RNAcentral.
UACGUAGGGCGCAAGCGUUGUCCGGAAUUAUUGGGCGUAAAGAGCUCGUAGGCGGUUUGUCGCGUCUGCCGUGAAAACCCGAGGCUUAACCUCGUGGCUUGCGGUGGAUACGGGCAGACUAGAGGUAGGUAGGGGAGAAUGGAAUUCCCGGUGUAGCGGUGAAAUGCGCAGAUAUCGGGAGGAACACCGGUGGCGAAGGCGGUUCUCUGGGCCUUACCUGACGCUGAGGAGCGAAAGCGUGGGGAGCAAACAGG